GCCUAGUUAGCUUAGUCAAUAGUGCGUCUGCCUUGUAAGCGCUAGGCCGCGGGUUCGAUUCCCGCCCGGGGCG
Molecule: transfer RNA, 73 nt
Filed under: Diaphorina citri (Asian citrus psyllid)
Lineage: Eukaryota; Metazoa; Arthropoda; Insecta; Hemiptera; Psyllidae
Rfam family: tRNA
About the family: Transfer RNA (tRNA) molecules are approximately 80 nucleotides in length. Their secondary structure includes four short double-helical elements and three loops (D, anti-codon, and T loops).
Source: Rfam by way of RNAcentral